RNAcentral lists this non-coding RNA (777 nucleotides) under Precis archesia. The record is from RNAcentral. Lineage: Eukaryota; Metazoa; Arthropoda; Insecta; Lepidoptera; Nymphalidae.
AUAAAAUAAUUAUAUUUUUGAAAAUUUAUUAUAAAUUUAUUUUACAUAUAAAUUUUAGUAUUUAAUUUUAAUUAUUUAAAUAAUAAUUAAUUUAAAUAUAUAGUAGUAAUUAAUAUUAAAAAUUUAAGAAAUUAAGAUUUAGUAAUAUAAAAAUUAAUAACUAAUUUUGUGCCAGCAGUUGCGGUUAAACAAAAGUUAAAUUAAAUUAUUUCAGUUUAUAAUAAAUAGAAUAUUUAUUAAAAUAAAUAUUAAAUUAUUAAGUGAAAUUUUAAUUUAAUUAAAUUUUAUAUAAUUAUUAUGAUUUAAUAAAUUUUAAUAUAAACUAGGAUUAGAUACCCUAUUAUUAAAAAUUUAAUUUAUAAUACUAAAAUAGUAAAUAAUAAUUUAUUGAAACUUAAAUAAUAUGGCGGUAUUUUAGUUCAUUUAGAGGAAUCUGUCUAAUAAUUGAUAAUCCACGAAUAAAUUUACUUAAUUUAUAAUUUUGUAUAUCAUUGUUAAAAAAAUAUUUUUUAGUAAAAAUAAUAUUUAAAUUUUUUAAAAAAAAGUUAAAUCAGAUCAAGAUGCAGAAUAUAAUUAAGAAUAUGAUGGAUUACAUUAAAUAUAUUUAAAUGAAUAGUUUUAUUGUAAUAUAAAUUUGAAGGUGGAUUUAAAUGUAAUUUUAAUUAAUUUAUUAAAAUGAUUAAUAAUUAAAAUAUGUACAUAUUGCCCGUCACUUUCAUUUAAAAGUUGAAAUAAGUCGUAACAAAGUAGAGGUACUGGAAAGUGUUUCUAGAAAGA